GCGCCUGUUUAACAAAAACAUUGCCCUAUGGUAACCUAUAUAGGGUAAUUCCUGCCCAGUGAUAUUUCAACGGCCGCAGUACCCUGACUGUGCAAAGGUAGCAUAAUCAUUUGCCUUUUAAUUGAAGGCUAGAAUGAAAGGAUUAACGUAAAUAAAACUGUCUCAGUACUACCAAUAUAAUCUAGACUCUAGGUGAAAAUACCUAGAUAAUAAUAAAGGACAAAAAGACCCUAUAGAGCUGCAUUUUUUAUAAUCUAUAAAAUACAUUAUAUUAUAUUCAUUUCAAAAAAAUUUUGUUGGGGCGACAGAGGAGUAUAAAAAUCCUCCUUUAAUUAUUAGACAUAUAUGUCCACUAAAUGAUCCUAAUAAGAUCAAAAGAAUAAGCUACCUUAGGGAUAACAGGCUAAUCCUUUUAGAGAGUUCACAUUGACAAAAGGGAUUGGCACCUCGAUGUUGGCUUAAGAUAUCCUUUAGGUGCAGAAGCCUAAAUUGGUUGGUUUGUUCAACCAUUAAAAUCUUACGUGAUCUGAGUUCA
Molecule: ribosomal RNA, 535 nt
Filed under: Glycera tridactyla
Lineage: Eukaryota; Metazoa; Annelida; Polychaeta; Phyllodocida; Glyceridae
Description: partial 16S ribosomal RNA
Rfam family: Bacterial large subunit ribosomal RNA
Source: RNAcentral